AUUGAACGCUGGCGGCAUGCUUUACACAUGCAAGUCGAACGGCAGCGCGGGCUUCGGCCUGGCGGCGAGUGGCGAACGGGUGAGUAAUGCAUCGGAACGCGCCCAGUAGUGGGGGAUAGCCCGGCGAAAGCCGGAUUAAUACCGCAUACGACCUGAGGGUGAAAGCGGGGGACCGAAAGGCCUCGCGCUAUUGGAGCGGCCGAUGUCGGAUUAGCUAGUUGGUGGGGUAAAGGCUUACCAAGGCGACGAUCCGUAGCUGGUCUGAGAGGACGACCAGCCACACUGGGACUGAGACACGGCCCAGACUCCUACGGGAGGCAGCAGUGGGGAACUUUGGACAAUGGGGGCAACCCUGAUCCAGCCAUGCCGCGUGCGGGAAGAAGGCCUUCGGGUUGUAAACCGCUUUUGUUCGGGAAGAAAUCCUCUGGGCUAAUACCCCGGGGGGAUGACGGUACCGGAAGAAUAAGCACCGGCUAACUACGUG
This 484-nucleotide ribosomal RNA is filed under the name uncultured bacterium. Its description in RNAcentral is "partial 16S ribosomal RNA". It matches the Rfam family "Bacterial small subunit ribosomal RNA", at positions 28 to 507 of the family's 1533-position model. The record is from RNAcentral.